Molecule: unclassified non-coding RNA, 401 nt
Filed under: Hevea brasiliensis (rubber tree)
Lineage: Eukaryota; Viridiplantae; Streptophyta; Magnoliopsida; Malpighiales; Euphorbiaceae
Source: RNAcentral
AAAAACUGCCUUGGCCAAUGAGCACGAGCAGGAUAUAUACUUCCAAGGCAUUCCAGAGGCAGUUUCAGAGACUGAACAAAGAGGUGGCUGUGCAUGCUAAGGCGGAUAUAGUAAUUCCAUCGAGUGCCAUACUUGAUCCAUGUUGUUGCGUAUUAUUUCUGCAACCGUAUCAUAACUCUCCGGCCAUAGCCAUUCUUUUGUACCCACUAUUAUAUACUACUAUUUGAUUUCUUCAGUGUUGUUUUGGGAAGAGAAGCAUCUUUUGUUACAUUUCAGUUACUGGAAGGUAGAGAAACUCAGAAGGAUUUCACUUAGUAUUGCAGUUGGCUUUGACAGAGAUUAUAACUGUGCAUCUUUUUUUAUUUUCUCCAUUGGGUGGUUGGUUUUAUUGUAUAAUCUGA